UACGGAAGAUGCGAGCGUUAUCCGGAUUUAUUGGGUUUAAAGGGAGCGUAGGCGGAAGAUUAAGUCAGCCGUGAAAUCCCGUCGCUUAACGACGGAACUGCGGUUGAUACUGGUUUUCUUGAGUGCACAUAAGGAAGGUGGAAUUUGUGGUGUAGCGGUGAAAUGCUUAGAUAUCACGAAGAACUCCGAUUGCGAAGGCAGCCUUCUGGGGUGCAACUGACGCUGAGGCUCGAAAGUGCGGGUAU
This 245-nucleotide ribosomal RNA is filed under the name uncultured Paraprevotella sp. RNAcentral describes it as "partial 16S ribosomal RNA". It matches the Rfam family "Bacterial small subunit ribosomal RNA", at positions 524 to 768 of the family's 1533-position model. The record is from RNAcentral. Lineage: Bacteria; Pseudomonadati; Bacteroidota; Bacteroidia; Bacteroidales; Prevotellaceae.